Small nucleolar RNA from Malania oleifera, 86 nucleotides. RefSeq annotates it as small nucleolar RNA R44/J54/Z268 family. The record is from RefSeq and is a predicted model, not a curated record. The transcript has a single exon. NCBI's taxonomy places the organism in Eukaryota, Viridiplantae, Streptophyta, Magnoliopsida, Santalales, Ximeniaceae.
UGUGCAAGUGAUGAUAAACAGACAGGGACAUCAGCACUCACAUUUGAGUAUGAUGAUUAUGUCUUUGGGAAUCUCUCUGAUGCAUA